Molecule: long non-coding RNA, 1078 nt
Organism: Oreochromis niloticus (Nile tilapia)
Lineage: Eukaryota; Metazoa; Chordata; Actinopteri; Cichliformes; Cichlidae
Exons: 2
Source: RefSeq, a predicted model, not a curated record
GGCAAAGUUCACUCACCUUCUUCCAAAUCAGUGAUUGUUGCAUCGCGGUUUAGCAGUGGCCGUGACGGCUUUGCUUUAGGCGAGGAGUAGGAGUAGGAGCGAAGACGGACCUCAGCCUCCUCUGGGCUCUAGAUGGACCUCAUGACCUGAGAAUCAGCCCAUCAACCACUGAUUUUCUACCACUUAUCCAGGGAUGGGUCGCAGGGCAGCGGCUUAAGCAGUGAAGCCCAGCGCUCCCUUUCCCCAACCAUCUCCUACAGCUCUCAUCCACGGAAACCCAAGAGGUGUUCCCAGGCUAGCCAAGAGACAUAAUCUCUCCAGCGUGUCCUGAGUCUACCUUGGGGCUUCAUUUCAGUACGACAUGCCUGGAACACCUCACCUAGGACGCGCGUAGGAGGCAUCCUAAACAGAUGUUCAAACCACCUCAACUGUCUCAAUGUGGAGGACUAGUGGUUCUACUCUGAGUCUCUCCCAAAUGACUGAACUUCUCACCCUAUCUCUAAGGCUCAAGCCACUCUCCAUAGAAAACUCAUUACAGACACAAGAAUUUCUCAUUCUUCCAGUCCAUGAGAUCUUUAAUUCCCACCUCCAGCAUUCCAAGGGAAGUGGGGAUAUUGAGUCUGAAAGAAGGAGUCCUUUACUUUUAUGGCGCUGCUGUUUAUGGCAUCCACAGAAUUAGUUAGCUUGUGGGAUGCCGGAGGCAGCUAACAGGUAGGUGGCAGUAGGUGAAGAAAAAUUUGGGUGUGGGAGGAGUCCAGUGAGGAUACAGAACAAGAUUUUUGGUCAGCCUCAAAGCCAUUCUGGCAAACGCCAUAGACAGUCAUCAUAUUCAAAUCAAACACUAUGAUUUUGACUCUGCAUUGCUGAGAAAAAUGAAGGACUGUUCAGCAACUUGAGCACGCUUCCUGCCGCUUUCCACACCUUCACUUAAAACAAUGUAGGGAAAAAAAUUAUCUUGUUGAAAUUCCAAGCAAACUGGAGUUUGCUGUCUUUGUAUGGAUUAAAUGGAAGACUGCUUAUCAUCCAAGUCAACAAAACCCCACAACACACUUCUGAAGUAGGUCGGAGUGAUCUUUAA